Molecule: ribosomal RNA, 406 nt
Filed under: uncultured bacterium
Lineage: Bacteria
Description: partial 16S ribosomal RNA
Rfam family: Bacterial small subunit ribosomal RNA
Source: RNAcentral
AUUGAACGCUGGCGGCAGGCUUAACACAUGCAAGUCGAGCGAGCGGCGGACGGGUGAGUAAUGUCUGGGAAACUGCCUGAUGGAGGGGGAUAACUACUGGAAACGGUAGCUAAUACCGCAUACCAUCAGAUGUGCCCAGAUGGGAUUAGCUAGUAGGUGGGGUAAUGGCUCACCUAGGCGACGAUCCCUAGCUGGUCUGAGAGGAUGACCGGCCACACAGGAACUGAGAGACGGUCCAGACUCCCACAGGAGGCAGCAGUGGGGAAUAUUGGACAAUGGGCGCAAGCCUGAUGCAGCCAUGCCGCGUGUGUGCAGAGGGCCUUCAGGUUUUCAAGCACUUUCAGCGAGGAGGCGUUACUCGCAGAAGAAGCGCCGGCUAACUCCGUGCCAGCAGCCGCGGUAAUUC